AGAGCUCAGAUUUGAAAUCGUGCUUUGCGGCACGAGUUGUAGAUUGCAGGUUGGAGUCUGUGUGGAAGGCGGUGUCCAAGUCCCUUGGAACAGGGCGCCCAGGAGGGUGAGAGCCCCGUGGGAUGCCGGCGGAAGCAGUGAGGCCCUUCUGACGAGUCGAGUUGUUUGGGAAUGCAGCUCCAAGCGGGUGGUAAAUUCCAUCUAAGGCUAAAUACUGGCGAGAGACCGAUAGCGAACAAGUACUGUGAAGGAAAGAUGAAAAGCACUUUGAAAAGAGAGUGAAACAGCACGUGAAAUUGUUGAAAGGGAAGGGUAUUGCGCCCGACAUGGGGAUUGCGCACCGCUGCCUCUCGUGGGCGGCGCUCUGGGCUUUCCCUGGGCCAGCAUCGGUUCUUGCUGCAGGAGAAGGGGUUCUGGAACGUGGCUCUUCGGAGUGUUAUAGCCAGGGCCAGAUGCUGCGUGCGGGGACCGAGGACUGCGGCCGUGU
This 487-nucleotide ribosomal RNA is filed under the name Pichia kudriavzevii. RNAcentral describes it as "LSU rRNA". It matches the Rfam family "Eukaryotic large subunit ribosomal RNA", at positions 104 to 602 of the family's 3401-position model. Lineage: Eukaryota; Fungi; Ascomycota; Pichiomycetes; Pichiales; Pichiaceae. The record is from RNAcentral.